Schistosoma haematobium is the source of this 45-nucleotide non-coding RNA. The record is from Rfam. NCBI's taxonomy places the organism in Eukaryota, Metazoa, Platyhelminthes, Trematoda, Strigeidida, Schistosomatidae.
GUCCAGUUGACGAAUCCCAAAUAGGACAAAACACGGGUCCUGUAU